RNAcentral lists this ribosomal RNA (214 nucleotides) under uncultured bacterium. RNAcentral's name for it is "partial 16S ribosomal RNA". It matches the Rfam family "Bacterial small subunit ribosomal RNA", at positions 1287 to 1500 of the family's 1533-position model. The record is from RNAcentral.
CUCAGUUCAGAUUGCAGGCUGCAACCCGCCUGCAUGAAGUCGGAAUUGCUAGUAAUCGCGGAUCAGCAUGCCGCGGUGAAUACGUUCCCGGGCCUUGUACACACCGCCCGUCACACUAUGGGAGUCGGGAAUGCCCGAAGUCAGUGGCCCAACCGGAAGGGGGGAGCUGCCGAAGGCAGGCCCGGUGACUGGGGUGAAGUCGUAACAAGGUACC